This 750-nucleotide ribosomal RNA is filed under the name uncultured bacterium. RNAcentral's name for it is "bacterial SSU rRNA". It matches the Rfam family "Bacterial small subunit ribosomal RNA", at positions 43 to 805 of the family's 1533-position model. The record is from RNAcentral.
CAGGCCUAACACAUGCAAGUCGAACGGUGAAGCCCAGCUUGCUGGGUGGAUCAGUGGCGAACGGGUGAGUAACACGUGAGCAAUCUGCCCCUGACUCCGGGAUAAGCGCUGGAAACGGUGUCUAAUACUGGAUAUGAGCUGCGACCGCAUGGUCAGUAGUUGGAAAGAUUUUUCGGUCAGGGAUGAGCUCGCGGCCUAUCAGCUUGUUGGUGAGGUAAUGGCUCACCAAGGCGUCGACGGGUAGCCGGCCUGAGAGGGUGACCGGCCACACUGGGACUGAGACACGGCCCAGACUCCUACGGGAGGCAGCAGUGGGGAAUAUUGCACAAUGGGCGGAAGCCUGAUGCAGCAACGCCGCGUGAGGGAUGACGGCCUUCGGGUUGUAAACCUCUUUUAGCAGGGAAGAAGCGAAAGUGACGGUACCUGCAGAAAAAGCGCCGGCUAACUACGUGCCAGCAGCCGCGGUAAUACGUAGGGCGCAAGCGUUAUCCGGAAUUAUUGGGCGUAAAGAGCUCGUAGGCGGUUUGUCGCGUCUGCUGUGAAAUCCCGAGGCUCAACCUCGGGCCUGCAGUGGGUACGGGCAGACUAGAGUGCGGUAGGGGAGAUUGGAAUUCCUGGUGUAGCGGUGGAAUGCGCAGAUAUCAGGAGGAACACCGAUGGCGAAGGCAGAUCUCUGGGCCGUAACUGACGCUGAGGAGCGAAAGGGUGGGGAGCAAACAGGCUUAGAUACCCUGGUAGUCCACCCCGUAA